CCGCAACCGCGCACACGCCGCGCACCCACACACCCACGGGAGGACCGCGGGCUGCCGCUCCCCCAACCCACCGCAAAGGUGCUGGGGGCGGCCCGCCGCAGCUGUGUGCAGGGUUCUCCGCGCCUGCGGUUUGACACGGGGUGGUUAGGGCAGCCGGAGCGGCGCGACCCCCGGCUCUGCCUGGCUCCGCUGCCGGGCCCGCUUGCCCUUCAUUUACGGGACAGCCGUCCCCGAGGAGCGGCGGGUGACCCGCAUGGUUCCCACAGCACCGCGGACAUCGCCCGGGAGUCCCGCGUCCCCCGUGCGAGCUCUCGAUGGCGUUUGUUCCUGGGCGUUUUCCCCCGCCCGCGGAAGGGGUCGCAACCGUACAGAGGGACACCUGGACUGGCAGCCUCCGAGGCAGCCGCUGCCGGGCUGGCGUCUUCUGUCAGCCCUUCUGCUUCCCGCCCCCGUGGACAAGGACGCGGCCCCGAGGGGCGCCCAUCGCCGCUCGACAUGUCGAGGCGGCCGCCGGGCCCCCAGCCGGGAGUCAUUCCCCCCUCGGCACAACCCAGCCACCGGCCGCGCCUGUCGGCAGCACCGCCGGGGGCAAGGCCGGGCCGGCGGGCGGGCCGCGCCGUACGGGCAGCAGCGGGCCGCCGGCGCCUGCCCCGCCAGCCCGCCUGGGCCCGCGGAGCCGGUAACAACGAUGCUGUGUAGAGGCGUGGCUGUCCUUUCGGGAUGGGUUGUAUGUUUUCCGUUUGUUUCUUUGUUUGUUUUGGUGUUUUUUUUUUUUUUUUUUUUUUUUUUUGGGGGGGGGGGUUCUGGUCAUGAAUGCCGUGGGCUCGCCGCAGCUGGAGUUACCCGGGCUGGGAAUGGGGCGAACCCGACCCGCUGCCGCCGCCGAGGUGAAGCCCCGGUCUGUUCCCGCAGCGCUCUCGACACAGAUGUGGGGUUCCCUCCGUGUAAUUUCACACCACUCGUUCUCCCGUGUUUCCUCUCUCCGCCGCGUUCCGGCCGGCACGGCCACCCGCGGGACAACUCCUCCUCCGCCACCCCCGGCAGCUCAGCAGCCGCGGCGGCGGCCGGCCGCGCUCCCCCGGGGCCGAGUGCACUUUGAAGGGGAGCGACAGCAGCUGCGGCGGGGUGGGUAGGACGGUGUGCAUGGGGUGGGCGCGUCCGCGGAGGGGACAUUACCAGGACUCGGAAAGGGCCACAGGGAGGGAGCCGGGGCUGCUGCCUGCCGCCGGGUCUUGCGCAAGGCGGCGGCUGUCCCGGGGGCGGUCCUCGGUGCAGCUCCGCGGCGGGGCCGGCAGAGGGGGCCCGCCGCCCGUCCGGCGGAGAAAAGCCGGCGGGGUGGGCCACCGCGCGGUACCCGGGGAGGGCGGCCACUCUCUACUGGGCCUGCUGCUGCCAGCACGGUAUGUUCCUACCAGUGCCCACGCGUGGCUUCUGUCCCGAGGGACACGCGAUCCGCCGCAUCCCCUGGGACGUGGUUCCAUGAGGAGCCCCCUUGCGCGGCGUCUGGCCGUGAGACCCCGGCUGGGUGAAGACAGGACAGAGGGCAACCUCAGUUUUGCCGACACCCGCUUUGGAAAUGCUCUGGAGUUGGGAAAAUAAAUGUCCGUUCGCGUUUUGGCACCCGCGACCUGUGGGGACGGGAGCGGAGCGAGCUCUUGUCAUUUACACCACCUAGUUUACACGCAAUUAAACUGAGAGCGGGCUGAGCACCCUCGGUGAAAGAAAUCGGCUUUUGCCUCUCCGGAGCCUGCUGCUGGGGAGAGGGGUGCUCAGGGUCCCCUGCGAAACAGGACUUCCUGCGUGGAGACCUCCGCAGCACAACUGAGUCCAGGAAGAGGCGCAGCAGCCUUCCAUCAAAUAGAGGGCACAAGCGUCAGGUGUGGGUUCCCUCGUAUCUCUAAAGUGCGGGUCAGGAGCGCCUUCCCCUCUGCGGGGAGUUGCAAGGCUGCGACUGCCCCUUUCUGCCUCGCUGUCCCUUUGCGGGGGGUUCGGUUCGGUGGCACCGCGCCUUGGGCUGCCCAUCGCAGGGCUGCCCUUCCGCGCCCGGGGCUGCUCCGCGGAAUCUCCGCGCCGAAGAGUUACAGCUUCAUUUUCGCAUAACCUGCCCCCUUGCCUCCUUCCCCGCUGUGCACCCCCAGCUCCUCCAAGCGCUGGUGAGAGCGCCGACCCAGGUAGGGGGGCGGCUCAGCCUGCCCUCCGCCGCACUCGCAACAGGUCCCUGUUUUCAGCAAGCGAAUUUGGUGCAGAAAGAUCUCUAUUUCACGUAGAUUCUAUGGUUCGUGUGCGUGUUUUGUUGUUUUUUUUUUUUUUUGUUUGUUUGUUUGUUUGUUGUUUUUUUUUUUUUUUAAUUCCGUCUCUUAACACGUUUACUUCUUUCUUGUAUGACACUAUUUUAAAUUAAAAUUAUUAGGGAGACGAUUCCUUCUGUUUUAAGGAAAAAAAUUAUACGGGCAAAUGGUUGUUACAAACUACAGCUUAAAAGCCAUCUGGGGUAUACUAAUGGUUGAUAACUUUUUACGGCCAUUGUAGAGAUAAGAAGGGUUAUUUUACUGAUGUAUGUACAUUUAGAUACAUCGCUUAAAAUAUAAAAAUACGCACUUAGUUGUGCGUAGUGUUCUAUUUAUUUAUUUAUUUAUUUUUACCCAAGAGGUAGGAGUAUUUUACAUUUAAAUUAAUGAAUAUAUCGAGCUGAAUUUCACGCUCUGCUUUGCAUCCCACCUUAAUCUGAACUCCUUAUAAAUAUAAAACAAACCGAUCUUAUUACACAUGUGUAACAGUUAGAAAGAUACAAAAUGCCACGAUUUAACAGGAGACGCAGAAAAUACUACAUGCUUACAGUUUUGUACAACUUAGCAGCAUUUUCAAAGCUGAAAUGAAAGGCGUUAAUGUAGACUAAAGGUGACGGUAUUCUUUUUAAACUGCACAGAAGCCAAGCUUUUGCAAGGUUAGUAGUUAAAUAAGGGAGGGUAGAUAGGGAAAAUACCAUGGUGACGAUAUUUUUAUACAGAUUAAGUUAUAUAUUUUACAUGCCCACUAACACUCACUACACGCGUGUUUUAUUUUGUUUUGUUUUGUUUUUAAGUUUGUUUAGCUAAUUCAAUUUAUCGACCUCCUUGUGAUUUUGUUUCUGCAUGACAAAGAGAAGAACUCGUAGGAAUUUACUGUCCCCUUAGUAUAUCAUGUGCAGGUGCUCUGGAAGAACAGCAGUUAAUGGGUUAAGCAGCUUGCGGGAAUAUCAGUGAUAACGCAAAGUAAGGAAACGAUGCGGGGUAUUUAACGCUGAUGAUUCUUCUCACAUGGUAAGACUUUUUAGCAUCUCUAACGCUUAGACUUGCGCUUGGACAGUCUGUCUUUUGUGCAGGAAUCCUUUUGAAGCAGGGAUGACAACUGGCAUUAUAACUUUACCAAUUCACAUUCAGCAUAGCUUACAUUUGUAUUUUGACAUCAAUUUAUUACAGCCGUAAACAAACCACAAAUGAAUCUCUAUCUACCAUGCCUUGCCUCUGUCAUACAGGAUUACUCGACCACAAAGCACCAAGCUUUUUACAUAAUACUGUUAAGCAAAAGCUUCGGAAAUAUGAGAGAAGGAGCAACUAUUUAGAGAUGAAUUUUAAACAGCCUAAAUUGCAAAGGGCGAAUUAGAACCUGAACACAAUGCAAGUUCCUACUGCACAGGUAAAUACUCUCUAGCCAAGCAAGCAGCGAUGGACACUUGUUUGCAUGGUUUGGAUUUGUGCAGGAUGGGAGAAAACUUGGCGCAAGACAGGCAAAAAACCAUCUUGUUAAAGGAGAAAUGCACACCUUAACAGAGCUGGCAUACGUAUCAUAUGAACACAAACUGAGAGAACUUGCUACAGACCCUGAUCUUGCCAACACUUAGAAACAUGCCUAAUCUUAUUCUUAGCAGCAUUUCUGCUGAAUGCAAUAGAAAUCUCUUUGAGCAAUGCAAUUACGUACACAAUUGUUAGGAGAAUCUGGGCUUAAUGUGGUGUUAUUCAAUGGGUCAGGUCCAACCUCUUGUACUUGAAUUAAUUUAAUAUAUUUAUUAAGGCCCUCUUAAAUAUGUUUAUAGUCAUGCCAGUGUGCCUUGCUUCUAGUAGUGACAAAUCAGUAGGUUACUGCCUGUGAAUUAUAUUUGUAGGAUCAGGCUUCUGAAUUGCUCCUGCAAAUAUUAAUAUUUAUUGCAUAGCAGUUACCAUCAUGGGUGAUUUCACUGACGAACCUGAAAAAAACCUGUAUUAAAUUAUUUUUGGGCUACUGGAAUAAUGAAACAUUGCACAGAGAAAAGCAGCAGCCAGUAAAGAAAAACGCAAGAUUCUCCUUAUUUUCUGCAGUGAUCUCUCACAAUGAAAUAUGCUUAUUUAAUCCUGGCAUGUAAAGUAUACAUAUACGAUGCCACUGAGAGUAAGGUGUGAAAUGCUCAGCAUGAUGCAGGGGAAAUGUGGCUCAGUUGGCCAGGACUACACAGGUGUAUGGUGUCUAGCCCCUAUCCCUUUGAGGGAGGGGAAAGUGCCUAAACCCCUCCAGGGAUUUUGUCUUUGAUCUCUGCUAACUGAUACAAGGUUACUCACUCUGGAAGCUGGCAACAGGUCAGUUUAUGCAAAGCAGAAGGGUUGUGAGGAAAGAUGAAAUAACACAUAUUCAUUCAGUUUCUCUAGCUUGGACAUCUUAUUACUUGUGACCCAAGUUUACCACUGAGAAAGUUCCCAAGGACUCUCCACCCUUUUUUGGACCUCCAGGUGAUAACAGCGGUCAAAAGCCUGUCUCAUUCUUUCUGGUCAGAAGCUGUAAACCUUUUUCUUUUCAAAAAGGACAGACCAAUCCAUGCUCUUGCCAAUCAAAAUAUUUUAGAAGGCAGGUAUGACUCCUGUUUUGAAGGCGUGAAGAAUCAUAUGCCUGAAUAGCUGGCAUAUUAUUUGGGACAUGGAUGGCAAGGUCAUGGACCUAUAUACAAAGGGAGCUAUUUUUUACCAUUUUACCACCCUCAUUCUUCAGAAACUGCAAGCCAGAGGGCUGUGCCUCUCUUGACUCAAACUAUCAAGUGGUGGCAGCAAUGGGCAGCAAGCAGGGUACACCUGGGGAAGGACAAUUUUCAGAAGAGGCUAAACUAUGAAUUUGCAUUCAACAUUAGCUGUGGUUUUACAGGCCUAUGGGUGGCUGCAGGUCCACUGAGGGUAUUGCUGAGUGAAGGAAUGAGUUAAACCAACAGCCAGAGGAGGAGCUCAGGCCAGGCAGAGCCCCAGAAGGAGGAGUGAUGAGAUGUGAUUUGGCUAAUUCUUCCUACCGAUGCAGAUGCGGUUUCAAUGCACAGCAACACAGUGCACCCAACUGCAUGACUGAAGCAGCACGUCCCUGGGGACAUUCCUCCACAGCAACCUUCCUGCUCAUUUCUUCAAGGGGGAGAUUUAAUUAUCAUGAAGUUACUGCAGCAGCAGCCUGUGUUGAUGCCCCCCCCUUCCUUUAUCCUGCUUAGUCAGCCUGGUUCAGCUUUGCUGGGAGGUUUGUUAAGAUCUAAAGCUAAGGCUGGGCUCAUUCUUACGCUCGCCUGCUGUGGGUGUGCGUCGGCAUGCAGGUGUUCAGUGUGUGCUCCCUCACCCAGGGCCGCAGAACCAGGCAGAGGGUAGGGGGGGACUUUCUCCUCCUCUGCUGCACAAGAAGCAUCCAAAUCUGGCUUUUAAAAUGCUCUCUGGAAUGUCACCAAUGGGACAGUUUUCUCCUUGGUCUUACAUGGCUGUUAAUAAACAUGUAAGAGUGGAGACUGGGUUAAAGUUACCACUGCAAAAAUACCUUUCGGCAUUUGGUCUUGUGUCCACUCCUCAUACCUGUGGACCAGAUGUGUGAAAUGCAUUCCUGCGCAGUUAGGAUACAGCACGUUUUUCCUUCCUCAAAGUGAAAUUUGUGUCCCUAACAUUAAGCAGGGAGAGGCUACACAGAGGUGCAGAAGCAGAGUGAUCACAUCUAGAGCUGAGGGAACAUCCAGUCUUAUUUUCCCAGCACUCAAAUCCCAGGGAGAGCAACGGGUUUAGUCCUGGACACUGUGUUAUGGGCUGUAUAUCAGUGAAUGAGAGAGAUUACAGAGAAAGGCAACUACGGUGAUUAAAGGACUGGAAGGAACCUAUAUGGAGAGAUUAAAGGAAUUAAAUACAUACAUAUAAUUUGGGGUAAAAGGGAAUCCCAGGGGACAGUGUGACUGUGGUUUACAAGUACAUGAAAGACAACUAUAAAGAGGAAGGGGAGGAACUGUUUUCCUUAGUGGAAAAAUGAUAAGACAAGAAAUAACAGAUGCCAACUGAAGUAAAACAAGUUCAGUUUUAAGAGCAAGGGCAACGUUGAUCCUAAGAUCAAAUAGGUAGGAGAAUACGCUCCCAGGGAAGCUGCAGAUUCAACAUCACUUGAACUUUUCAAGUCAGAGCUUGACAAGCACCUUGGAGGGGAAAGUUUAAGAAAUAGUAGAAGUGAAGCCAAAAAGCACCAGGAUAUAUGGUAUGACCUAGAAGCCCAGAUGAUUUUGAAGCCAUUUGAAAGGGUUGCAGGAAAGAAACACACAAAACCACGCAGGGCUUCUGGAUGAUUUCUUGCUCUGCAUGGUUCAAAAUUAAAAGGAGGGAGGGGGGAAAGGCUAAGCAAGGAAAAUAAGUCAUUUAAUAUGAUUCUGCUGUGGUUAAUCCCCAGAGGAGAAGCCAAUUACUAGAAAUACUUCAGAGUAUGGGGUGGAGAAGGGAAUGGAAAUUGUUGAAAAGCUGCCAUCUGGUAUAAGUACUUGCUGGUUUGGAGACUUAAAAAAUACGCAUUGUUUGCCAUUAUACUAUGCUCAUUACAUACCUAGAUUAAUGCAGAUAACAUCACCCACACCUAGUGUUUUCUGUGGCAUUUUAUGUACUCAGGUUCACACCAUAACCACCUCCAGCACUAAUUGUAACAUUUGGGCUUUUGAUCUUCUGCUCUGGUAGGAACACUACAGAUGCCUUGUACCAGCAAAUGGGACCAAAAAAGAAGAAAAAAAAAAAGGAAAGUCAGGCUCCUUUUGUUACAGGACAUUUAAAAGGAGCAGUAAAUCUGACUCACCUGGAGAGCAAGGAACAACUCUGGCAUAAGAAGGAUUCUGCAGAUGGCAUAGAAUUAAUAUAACUACUUUAUUCUCUGCUCCAGCCCCUCAUGAGGGUGAGGGCAUUUUGGUGGAGCAGGAACUGCAGCUCGGCUAUCAGCUGACCUUGAGUGCUCUGGCCAGCUUGAAUCAUAUUGGAGAAGCCCUGACGAUAUUUUGAUUGAUGCUAGGAGCCAUGCAGGUGGAUUUCCCUCCUGUGCCCCAUAUUUUGCUUCUACAAUUAGCAGUGACUGACCAGGCAGAGAAUCAGUCCACUGAAUGUACUUGGUCUAGGAAAAAUAGUUCACUAUAUCCAUGGUGAUAUUAUAAUAAGCAAAAUGUAACGGUAGCAUUCACACUGCAUCUGAUACAAAUUACUUGGUAUGGCUUUGCCUUUCUCAGGUCAGUUUGCUUGAUUUUCAGUUAAAAUUAAGUAGGAUUUAUAAAUGAUUGCAAAAGUUCCUGUAAGGUCAUAAGCAGGAGAUUGAAAGCCUUAGUGUAUUCACGGGACAAAGCUCCUUCUCCAGUCAUCACCACUGUGCUUUACUGCUGACAUGGGAAUCUCUGGGACAUUGUCCAUAGCUUAAGUGAAUAAAUAAGCAAUAUUAAAACUUUGUACAGAAGCCUAAAUCACUACUAACUUUGGCCCAAAUUUGAGACAAUGUGAUUAAGACAGAAAUACUUUUGAAUCCAAAAUGUCCUUCCAUUAUCCCUCCAAAUAAGGGAUUUGUUGUUCAUGUCAACAAGAUGCAGAGAUGCUUCAAUCCUAAGGAAAGGGAGCUUCUGACAGCAUAACAGAAAGGAAGAAAGACAGUUUCCAGGGGAGGCCCCCUCCCUCCCAGGCUUGCCAGAAGGAAAGUCGUGGUCUUGCAACACUGUGGACUGGAGUUAACAUCUAGGAACAUUAGGAUGCUAACUGCAUCCUUCUUCUUCCUACACUACUUUUACCAUUUGGAAACUGUGACAGACUAGAAUGAUGAAACAGGAAGUGUUCAGAAGAAAAGAGUGACAUUAGUCCCACUACGACAUUUUGAUGCUCAUAUCAGCAGGUGAUAUUAUUAGCAAAGCCACUCAGUGAAGGAAUGGCUUCUCUGCUCCUACUGGCCCUUCUGUCCUUCAUCUUCUGUUUUAAAGGGAUGGGUUUUAUUUCUCUCUCUCCAUUUCCCCUUGUUCCAUGACCCAUUCAAGGGUAAUGGGGUAAGUGCUGGUAGCUGAUUCACUGCCCACAUUGCAAUGCUCCAUGCAGUGACUUUGCAGAGCAUUUCCAGUAGCUGCUCAACAAACUGGCAGCAAGCAAAUGACUGGGAUCUCUUUCCCAGGGAGAUCGCAGAGGGGAUGCAGCAAGAGGCCAUUGCAGAUUGAGCUUUAGGUUUAAUUUGACUGAACGAGACAGAAACCAGCUUUCAGUCUCAAAUCCAGUUUGCUACUUUAAAUACAGCAUGUGGUGUGAAACAGAAUCACUUUUCUUCAGUAUUUUUGCAGCCCUCCAGGAAAGGCAGGCAGUACCCUUGCUGUGUGAGCCUCAGCAAGAGCUGCCAUGGUCAGAGUGGUAUUGUCUGCGGGACAGGUACUGCUGUCCUGACACAGAGAGUCCCCUUACCCACAGCUAACACAAAAUGUCUACUAGAGUAAAUCUCAGUGUGAUUAAGGGUAGUAAAUCCCAGGUACCUAAUUUCUGUAGGAGGCACAGAGAGAGAUCUGGCCACAAGCUGUUCCCCACCAUAAACUAGGCUUCUCCCACUGUCUGUCUCAGGUGAUGGGGCUGGUAACACCUGCACAAAGCCCUGCAAGUGCCCUCAGCCUGUUUCAUAUCAGUCUGCUCUUCACUGCCUGGCAUACUUUAUAUUUAACCCUCCUCAGCAUAACAAUGACUUCAUGCAGAAAAGGCUUUUGCUUCCAAGCUGUUAGAGGGAUUGUGCUUGAGACUUUCACCACAGCAUCCCUUGAUUGAACUGGAGAUAGAGGAAGGAAAGCCUGACUGAGAUGCGAAGGUGCUAUUAACCACACUCCUCACUGCUAAUGCAUUCUCACAGCCACAGAUGAAGCCACAAGUUAAUCUCCUAAAUUGUUUCUUCUCCACUUAACAUCCCACCUGUGCCUGACUCUGCAUGUGCUUAGCAAGUCUGAGCUUGGGUAUGCUGGUGUCACCCUGUACCACCUGCACCGUACCCAGCAGGGUGCAGCCACCCUGUACGGGCCAGUUCAUCAGCUGUGGGACAUGUGGUCUAGCAUUUGGAAAAGUUUCGGGAAUACAGACUCUUUAGUUAUAGACCUUAGUGUCAGUAAUAAGAAGAGAAAAUAUCUAGAUAAUUUUGAAGGUGAUUAACAAUAAAAUCUCCAGCUAAAAAGCCAUCUAGUGCUAAGGUGGCACCAGCAUUUGUCACAUAGACACAUUAAGCUUCUGCUGAACUUCACCCAGUAAAAUGCAUUUGCAGUUUUAGGAUGAGCAUGUGCUUGUGGGACAAGGCCUAGGAAAGAAAAGGAUGUACUAGGUCUUAUAUGUGUGUAAGGUUACAACUCUUAUUUUGUUUUGAUAAUGAAAGUUUACAAGAAAAAUCUUGAAGUGUGUGUGUUCACAUGCUUUAUGUAGGAUACGCACACAGAGUGUUGUCAGAUGUCUCUGUGUUAAUGAUGUUUCAUCAGUAUCAGCUGCUCAGGACUGUAUGUGGAUGCUAAAUGUUACUUGCUUUUAGUGAUCCUAUAGCAAAAGGCCUUGAUGCUCAGCUGGUCUCAUUGGCAAAACAAUGCCUGUGCCAACCAACUGAUGGUGAUGGCUCUGCAAAAUAGGUGAAAUUCUGUCUUGGGAUCUUUCCAUGCAUGUCUUCCCCGGGUUGCCCUGGGGUUUGUGAAUGACAAGCCCAGCUAGAUAUAUUACCCUUCCUUAAAAUCUUACAUGAUUAUUCCCACAGUGGAACAAGCAGGGAAAGGAGGAGGUCUGCAGGCUAGAUUCUGCACUCCUGUCGAAAUGUGCCCUCCCCAGAGCCAAAAGGUAUGUCAUCCACUGGCUUUGAUCUCAACCACAGAUCUCCCUUGAGGUCAUAAUGAGGUUCAGCUUUGUAUCAAAGCCUCCGCUCCCAUUUGUCCAAGAUGAAAUCUGCACACCAGCGAGAGAGCAGAGUGUGGUCCAGGGGAAGGGAGGAAGCAGCCAAGAUUUCAGGUUGGGAUGUUUCUAAUGAAAUCAGGGAAUACAUGUGGAAACAAAAGGCUGUGAGAUUUACUAGGGAUUUUCCGCUGGCCAAAUUUCAUAUUUCGAGAGCACUGCUAGCUUUUUAAGUGUUAUAUUCUAUAAAAAUAUUACAACCUCACUUGUCAGCACAGGGCCAGAAACCUACAGACACUACAAACACUUCAACACAUGCAACAUUACCUAUGAGGAAAACUGUGCGUGUGCUUAAGUUAUUCCACAAAUGGUUGAAGCCAUCAGUUUGUGAGAGCAGGUUCCAAUUCCCGUUAAAUCACAGGAACUCUUGCACCAGAGCCAGUAUAAAAGGGACAAUGAAAUAAGGUGUACUUCUGUGAAAGGCUAAUCCAGAAACUAUUUGGGACUAUUUGGCUGUUGUUCUUGUACUGAACAGAAAAACAAGAAGUGGUAUGUUGUUUACCUUUCUUUUGAACUUUGUCUUAACACUGCUUGAAUGAAGAAGAAGAGACCUGCACAGGAAACACACUCCUUUUCCCAAGGAAAAUAAUAGAAAGCGGAAAGAGAAAAAAGAAGAAAAGCCCACAGAAAGCCCAGUGAUAUGAAAUGAAACAGCACAAUCUCUACCACUCUAGCAACUCUUACACAACCCUGGGUUAUGACAUUGUUCAACUGCCACAGGAGGACUGCGAGAGACCUCAGGCAAAUGUUUCAUCAGUUGCACAACAAGAUGUUUCCUGGGCUUUGCCGACAGUGGUUCAGCAGAGAUGCAAUAGCCCCUCUGUUACGGGGCAGAUAAAGCACCUCCUGCUAGCUGCUAUCUUCAGAUGCUAACUCUACAGAAAUGGUUCCUUCUUUCCAUCCCUCUGUAUAGCUUUGGGUUUGAGCUUUUGAAAUGUACAGGCCUUUAGUCCUCAGCUCUCUCGUGGCUUUUUUAUUAUCAGUUUUCACCCUCCUUUUCCUAUUGCUUGUUGCUCGUCUAUCAGAGUGUGAGCACCUUGUGGACAUUUACAUAAAGAUAAGGAAUGAUGGGGCUAUGCAAGACACAUGCAUGUUGAUAUCAGAGAGGAUGCAUCUCCAGGGAAAACUGAACUACAGACCCAGCAUGGAUUUGGGUUUCAUACUUUUCUUCCCUAACAUAAUACCUUAGCUGUCAGAAAAUGGUAGAGACUGUAAAAGACCUUCUUUAACACUUAUUUUAAUUUGGUUAUUUGGGGAUUCUAGAAAAAAGCUACCAGUUCUUUUGGAUGAAUGUUUUUUACUCACAGUGUGUGUGUUCAGCAGUGCAAAGAUGGUCAAAUGAACAUGAAAGUGAAACCUCAGCUAAAUUUUUACUACAUCAGCUACACUAACUGCCCCAUUGGCCACUUUUCAGCCAUAUAGCACAGUGUUAACUUGGAGGUGGCAGGGGGCAAAGAAGACGUCAUAAGAGCCAAAUAAAGAGGUAGUCUUAAUUUUUACAUAUAUAUGGCAAGGGUUGCUCCAGCAGCAAAGUUCUGACCCGAUACUUAUAUAAGGAAGACAUACAUUUUGGCAAGACUUUAGAUUUUAAAAUGGAAAUCUGUUUUUCUGAAGGUGUUAAAGACCUGCACAUCUCAUGGACUUCCAGUGAAACUGGUGUUCAGAUCAUCUGGAAGUCAGGACUGAGAUAACUUUUUAAACUCAGUAAUUUGAGGCAUUGCAUAAAUUUCAAGAUUAGUCCUUGAGGAGCUUUAUAAUAUGUUUUGUAAAGCAAAAACAAACAUCAGUCUGAAAUUAAAUGGAAGUAGCUGGGAGCACUGUGCCGUUUGAUGAUGUCCCUCUAGCAGGUAAUAGAAAAAGUGAAAGUGGAUUACUGUCUCCUGUUUUCAGAUUGAAGGUAUGUUAGCCACAGAGCUUUCCAAAACUGUAAACACAGCCCUGCUAAGAAAAAUAGGUAUACUAGGUUAUGCAGCGUUUUGUCUUAUAUAUUGCUCUUAAUACCCCCACACAUACUACAGGACACCUGUCCAAAACAGCUUCAUGUUGACUAUAAAACUUUUACUUCACUGACUAUGCAAGACGUUCCUGUCUGUGAAAUGACUGGAUUCCCACAUGCAUCCCUUUAUGUACCUUGUAGUGCUUUGAUAAACUUACAUUUCUGAAACUCUAGGGUCUCGGCUCACUUGGCUUCUGUGGCAUGUGGCAUGUGCUAUACAAAGCACACUUUGCUAUACAAAGAAACACUCAAGUAAAGGAACGUAAUCUGAUGUUCCUUUCCCAUCUUAACAUCCAGCCUCUGUCAAUCUUUUUUUUAAGACUGCAGAGAGAUUUCCCAAUAAAGCAUAGUUUUCACUUUAUGAACAGAAGUAAUUUUAGGGUUCUUUGAACUGAGCUAAACAACUGACAUAUUUUAAAAAAGCAUAACGCAGAUCAAAAAAAGCCAAAGAGGCAAGUAAGAAUGAAACAGGAUGGAGUACACGUCCUGUUUUUGACAUGCAACACCAUCUUUAACUAGUUUUGAAGCACUACAUCCUCUUUGCAGAGCCUUUAGCAACCACCUUCUGAAGCAGGUUGUUUUUCUGGAAGUGGGAUGUCAUGAGCAUUUGCCUGUGUUUCUAAGGAGAUUGCCAAGAUUGUGGAUGAGGGUGGAUUUCACUGAAAAGUACACAUAGCUACUGGGAAAAUUCAAAUGCCAGGGCUUUUUUGGAUACGGGUAAUAUUUAUAUGCACUUUCACCAUGCUGAAGCUGGAUGUGUGCUCCAGAGAAAUCAAAUUCUGCGAGACAUUUGGAACAACAGCUAAAAUUUCAUUUGUUUUGGAACUGCCUACUGGACAUUUGAAAGUAAUCAAAAGCAAGUUUAUAUCUAUAUAUAUAUAUAGAUAUAUUUUUUUUUUCUUACAUGAGUUGUCCUUCCAUCACUAUCUCCUUAUAAUAAAGUCAAAGAGUUGUGAAAUGGUUAUGUUUAUAAAAAGACAGAGCUUUGCAACCUAGGAAUCCAUUUGCUGAUUUGCCUCUCCAGGGGCACAGCCAUCAGGCAGCUGCCUCCCCCCACCAGCACGGGCUGCUACAUCACUUGGCAACGGAAGCGCACACUGUACACAGCACUCGGGGCUUUUCUGCGUCGUGUGGCCACCCCCGAGCUGAGCUCUGCUGCAGGACUGCAGGCUCAGGGAAGCAACAAGCUCUCAGGUCUGCACUGGCUGGGAGGGGGAGCUUUGCAAUGACCUGGCCAAGCCACAAUGCCAACCCAGCCAGCCCCGGCCACAGCCAAAUGUCAACUUACUGUCCACCCCAAAAGCCUGGGCUUCUGCCCUGCUACCUCUGCAGCAGUUGUAUCUGGACCAAGAAGCAGUUUUCACCUCUCUCCUCUUCUGAGAGCUACACCAGGCUGUAAUUACAUUGCCAAAGGGAAGAGGUGAAGGUGUCCAUUAACUCCCCUACCUGGAGCCACCCACCUAUGUGUUUUUGACAAAAUUCACGUUCAUUAAGCGAGACUUUCUCAGCCAGACUUGGCCAGAAUCACUGCAGAACUGACAUAUUUUUCAACUUUCCCCCACUCUCUGGCCUUGUACCAGCACAGAACCUAGCCCAUGGACUCAGACUGGUGUAGUCUAACCUGGUUUGAAAUCCAGGACUGAAAACAAGAGGCACAUGUACCACAGGACAAUUAAAAUGCUAAAAUGCCAAAUGAAACCACACCUAGAAGCCUGUCAGAGCUGUUUCCAAGCAGAUUUCAGCAAGCCACCAACAUCUCUGUCACCAUCUUGAAGACAUUGCACAUAUAUCUUGGUUGCCAGUUGUUUGCCAAGAGACCCAACACAGGGCUAGCUGGGAGCUCAUGUUCCCUCUGAGUGUGAUAAUACAGAAAGUUUUCCUCCUGUGUAGGGGUAAAUCUAGGAUGCUUCAAAUCUUUCCACUGGGUAGGAGGCCUGCUUGGGUGGCCAGGAUGAGCCAUGCCCAGGAGGUGAAGGCUGCCCAGCACUAGAAACCCAUCAACUGGCUCUCCCAGCCUCUCUUGUUGGAGUGGGUCCUAUCUGCAAGGAUAGCUAUGCACAGAUGGAGCAGGGACAGGACUGGGGCCUCCCACAUUCAGGCAUGGCUGCAGAGGCAGUCUCUAGUUUAACCUGACAUCACACCCCAGAAACUGAAGGAUGUUUUCCAGUCAAAACCAGUACAUAUUGGGUUUUGGUUUUGUGAACAGCUUUAGUUUUGAUAAACUGAUAUUUUCUGGAAAAAAAAAAAAAAUUAACCCACCUACCAUUUCUCAUCUUAGCCAGAAGGACAGAUGUGAUCUGGGGAGCCAAAGAGGCACCAUCAGAGAGGGUUCUGACAAGUAUGGGACAUGAAUUUGAAUAAUUUAUUAGACUUCUCCAGUGCCAGGCAACUGUCUGGAAAGAACCAAAACUGUGACGUCUACAUCUGAACCAUGCAAAGCCAGAAGUCUUACAGAACGUGCAAAUAAGGAAAACCAGGCAGCACAGAUACAACACGACUCACUAUCUUUUGGAGCAAAAUCUUUCCCAGAUCUCCAUUUAGCAAUCUGUCAGGCUGAGUAGUUUAAAAGUAGGACUGACAACUCUAGGAAGCAAAGCACUGUGUCUGUGCUGUAGCUCCUGCCACAGUGAUAUGGAGACCGAAUCCACCAUGUACUGAGAUAUUUGGGUAGUGGUAGCACCCCAGUGCUGCAGACACAUUGCUGUAUCUUCUUGUCCAGCAUGCCACCCAACGGGAGAUUCCUGGAUGUGGUGAUAGGACAAACCCCAGAAUACCCAGGCUGAGCAUGGGGUUGUUCUUUGCCCCCAUUCCAAUCCUUUCCACAGCUCCUGGCAGAAGGAAGAGGGAAAAGAGAAGGGUGGAAUGUAGAAGAACAAGGGCCGUCUUUCACAGACUGGGAUGGAGUGCUUUUUCUUGUGGCCAAGCUGAACGAAGAGCAUCACACUUUUUCCAGAUGUGAAAGGAAUGCCACAAAAAAUGCUAUUGGCUUUGUGUUACCCCAGGGCAUGCUCCCACCCUGCAGAGCAGGGUUCACGACACAGCCUGCUCAGCCUCACUGGUGGUGGCACUGAUGGGAUAACCUUCAAGAUGUACUCACUCUAACAAGACCUACUUCAGUCCUCCAGACCCUACUCUGUGAAGCUUUCCCACCAGAAGAAGAAAGAAAAUCAGAAGCCCAAGCCAAAUCCCACCUCACAGUCAUCUCUCCACCUUCACUGAUUUAUUCACCCAUGUAGCAUCUCGAACAGACCAAGGCAUGAAGAAAGCAAAAAGCUUCAUGAUGAUGUUGUCUCACUAAGGUUAUGUUUCGCUUCAGUGUGCCAGGGGGCCAUCCCAGGCAAAAAUCUAUAACAGUGACAGGGGGUGCACAAAGUCUGAGCAGGUCCCUUGGUGAAACUAUAGAAGAAUACAGAAGGUCCUUUCUGCUCCUCUGCUCGCUAGUCUCUCAGAGCCGUGUCUACCAUUAUUCCCAUUUGGAGGUUGCUGCACCUCAGAAGAAGGGAAGGUUUAUUGUUCAGUCUUCUUAGCAGCUGUUGCCAUUACAGAUUGUUGGUGCCUUUGCUUUGGGAGGCAGCAUCCUUCCAAUUUUGUACCCUCCACCACUCAUUUGGUUCCUGUUGCCUGCCCAAUAAUGUUGAUUAGGCUUCAGGGCAGAAGCACCGUUUUGCACUUUCUUCUCAGACAGGGUUUCAAUUGCGGAGAAAACUCAACCUUGCUUUCUUUAAUAAUUUACAUGGCAGUAUUGUGUGGAUACUCUUAACUGCUACUUAAAAGUAAUUAAUUGAUUUUCUGACAUAUCAGUUAACAAUGUAUUGCACUGACAUGAAGUUGUGAUGCUGCUGUUGAUUGGGCUGGAUGACUAAAUGCAUCAUACUCAGUUCAGGAGCUGAGCUUAAAAGACUCUAAAUAUAUUCUGCUAUAAAAGGAAAGGCAUUUUACAUGUAGUGUUGUCUAAAACUUGAAUCCAUAUGGUGCCUCCAAUGCUGUCAGAGUGAAGUAUUUCAUUGUUAUUUACAGUAGACCGAUAGUAUUUAAAUUUAGAACAUCCGGUAGGUAUGAAAACACAAUUUCUGUCAGCUGGAGACAAUAGCACAUGUUGAACUGCAGAAAGAAGGGAGGCUGCAGAAGGGCUCUAUGUGUGUAUAUGUAACUGAACUGGGAGACGUGGCUGGAGCAUCUCCUUUCUCCAUACUAAGUUGCCUACCCUGUUCAAAACCCAGGAGCACUGCAGAUGCAUAUACAGAUGAGUCUGAAGCAGGAAGACAAAAGGACAGAACCCGUUUCUGGAGAUUAAUGGUGGUUUAUACAGCUUUUUAUCUUUACAGUAAGUCACCAGUUCUAUUAAACUCCAGGGCUGGGUGGCAACUGCAGGUUAAAUAAAUUACUGCAGUCAAAAUGUUCAAACCAGCCCUAUUCUGUUAGAUAACUAAAUAAAAGAAGACCAGCCCUUUCUGUCUUAAAUGAAAUUACGUGAGGAACUUACGAGCAUUUAUUACACUCCACAAUCACAAAUUCAGAAAUCUUCUGUUUAAUUACUUAGGCUUGAAAACUCUGACCUGAGUAGAUAGUGCGUGGGGGACACUACUGGAAAUAUUUUCAUUCAUUAUAAAGGAUAUGAAAUUACUUGCUUGUGAUCUCUGCUUUGAUAUAGCUAAUCCCAUCAUGGAUAACUUAGAAGGUCAAAUGCUUAAAUUUUAUGUGUUGCAGAAUACUUCACAUGUUGAACACUGUUUUGCUUCUGUUCUCAAAUAAUCUUUUUUCUCCUUCCUUCUCUUGCUACAAAACACCACAAAAACAUCAGCUGAGGAUCAGACCAAUUCUCCUCUAAAAGUGUUCUUUUAAUAAAUAUGGAUAUUUUAUGUUAAA
Molecule: long non-coding RNA, 17046 nt
Organism: Columba livia (rock pigeon)
Lineage: Eukaryota; Metazoa; Chordata; Aves; Columbiformes; Columbidae
Exons: 3
Source: RefSeq, a predicted model, not a curated record